GUAGUCAUAUGCUUGUCUCAAAGAUUAAGCCAUGCAUGUCUAAGUAUAAGCAAUCUAUACGGUGAAACUGCGAAUGGCUCAUUAAAUCAGUUAUCGUUUAUUUGAUAGUACCUUACUACUUGGAUAACCGUGGUAAUUCUAGAGCUAAUACAUGCUAAAAACCUCGACUUCGGAAGGGGUGUAUUUAUUAGAUAAAAAACCAAUGCCCUUCGGGGCUCCUUGGUGAUUCAUAAUAACUUAACGAAUCGCAUGGCCUUGUGCCGGCGAUGGUUCAUUCAAAUUUCUGCCCUAUCAACUUUCGAUGGUAGGAUAGUGGCCUACCAUGGUUUCAACGGGUAACGGGGAAUUAGGGUUCUAUUCCGGAGAGGGAGCCUGAGAAACGGCUGCCACAUCCAAGGAAGGCAGCAGGCGCGCAAAUUACCCAAUCCCGACACGGGGAGGUAGUGACAAUAAAUACUGAUACAGGGCUCUUUUGGGUCUUGUAAUUGGAAUGAGUACAAUUUAAAUCCCUUAACGAGGAACAAUUGGAGGGCAAGUCUGGUGCCAGCAGCC
Molecule: ribosomal RNA, 552 nt
Filed under: uncultured fungus
Lineage: Eukaryota; Fungi
Description: SSU rRNA
Rfam family: Eukaryotic small subunit ribosomal RNA
Source: RNAcentral